GUUUUUAUAGUUUAAUAAAACAHUUGGUCUUGUAAAUCAAAAUUAAGUAAUUUACUUUAAAAACU
Molecule: transfer RNA, 65 nt
Filed under: Aglaomorpha histrio
Lineage: Eukaryota; Metazoa; Arthropoda; Insecta; Lepidoptera; Erebidae
Description: tRNA-Thr
Source: RNAcentral